GGAAUGGAGAGGUUCAGCAAACAGAAGGUCUGGAUUGAUGGGCAGCACAUCCUUACUUCACUUUCUCAAAACCGCCUUAAGUCAUUUCCCAGACUGUUUUGGAUCCACUCCCUAAAAGGCUUCUUUUUUUGACAAAUGGUGCCUACAUUUCAUUCCCUCUUCUCCUCAAGAGAAGCAAAGUAGCUGAACCCAAAGGGGCUUAGAGCCAGGAAUUCUGAGUGCUGUAAUUCCAGCCCAGCCACUUGGAUGAGUCCCUCCCUGGGUCCUGGUAUUUGAGCUCGCACAGCAUUCAUUUACAGCCAGAUAGGCUUCUGGGUGUUCUCCAAUCAUCUCUGUUCUCUCUGCUCUUCUUUCAACCUUUGGGAAGGAGCUUCUGGAACACACACCUUCCUAUUUGAAGAAGGUGCUGCCAGUACCAAGGCAGUUAUUUAGAACGCAAGUAAUCUUUCAUUUCAUUUAUUUGGUCAACAUUUAUUAAUCACCUACUGUGUGCAAAGCCUGGUGCUAGAUCUUGGGGGAAGAUAUAAAAUAUGGUUAAGACAGAGUUUCUGCCCUCACGAAGUUUAUACUAUGGUAUGCUAAUGACACCUUAGUCUAGAGGAAAGUGGAUUGGAUUUCAAGAUAGAACAUAUGUUUAGAAAAUAUGUCACUUGGCUCUGUGACUUUCUGUAUGACCUUGGGUGAGUCACUUCCUCUCUGGGUUUCAGUUUCCUCAUCUGUAAAUGGAAGGGAGGGGGUUGUAUGGAUCAGACGUAAUUAAUAUCUAAGGUCCUUUCAAGAGCUCUAAGAUCUUAUGAUCUCCUAUGAAACAACUCAGGUAACUACAAUAGACAAUAUUACCUGGCAAGUACAUUAGAAACAUGAAAAAAAAAACCCCAAUGCUACUCAAGGUCUGAGGAGGCAAGGUUGUUACAGACAUGAGUGAUUAGGGAAGGCUUCUUAGGAGAGGUGGUAUCUGAGUUGAGAUCUAAAGAACAGAUCUUCAACAGGUGAAGAGGAAAAGAGAGUCGUUCUAGGCCUGAGGGGCAGUAAAAGCAAAGCAGAGCUGUAACUAGGAAUUUUUAUACCU
RNAcentral lists this long non-coding RNA (1069 nucleotides) under Phascolarctos cinereus (koala). RNAcentral describes it as "lncRNA (ENSPCIG00000035958.1)". Lineage: Eukaryota; Metazoa; Chordata; Mammalia; Diprotodontia; Phascolarctidae. The record is from RNAcentral.